GACACAUCUUUGAAUGAAAACAUGAAAGUUGCUGCAUUGAUUUUCCUUGUAGGCUGCACUAUUGGCACUGUCUUGGGUGAAGUCGAUGAUCGGUGCGUAGCAGCACCAGGACUAAAAGGUCCCUGCGCUGAAAAGUUUCUUCGUUGGGCCUACUAUCUACAUGGAAAACUGUGCAAGCUCUUUAUUUGGGGUGGAUGUGGUGAACACGGCGAAAAUCGCUUUAACAGUGAAUGGGAGUGCACCAACACCUGUAUAUCAGGACGUUAAUGAAGUUCCUAGCUCAAAAAUUAGGCAAUUCCGCAAAUAGUAAUACUAUUAUACACGUUCACUUAUGUUUUUUUUUUUUCUGGUAAAAUCAUUUCGCUUAUAGAAAAACAGAAAUACUGUACUAAAAUAGCAGUAUACAAAUAUCACAGCAUACAACAAUGUAUAUAACAGGGUUCCACCUAUUUGCCACAUUGCCGAGCGGGUUGAUUAUAAAUCAAUCGGUCAGUCAACCAGCACUGACAGAUAUUCCUACUUAACACAGCAAACAGGGUAUCUGACCAGACUCGACUCAUGUAUAUAUUUUCAAUCAUCACGCAUUUUUCCUGAUUUCCAUUUGGUUUCAGCUUCACUUUAAUCGUAAACAAAUUUCAAGGGUUUUGAAAUAUAAUUGAGAAUGUUUUAGUUCCGGUUGCAUUUGUGAAUAAAUAGGGCGCUAAUUACUUAGGAUACGACAGUCCGUUUUGAAACUACAUUAAGGGGAAAACAUGAAACUCGCUGAAUUAAUUGUCUUUACAAGCUGCAUUGUUGGCAUUGCACUGGGAUUAAAAGAUGAACCUUGCUUACGAGCAAGAUGCUGAAGAACAACAGUGCAAGAUGUUUCUAUAUGGUGGUUGUGGCUUUCGAGGAGCAGUGAUUUAACAUGUAUAAAGGCAAAUUGCAAGAACCCAAAAAUGUUCACAAAAAUAAUAAAUAAAUUGUAUAUUUAUAUACUACCUGGCAUA
Molecule: small RNA, 989 nt
Filed under: Drosophila virilis
Lineage: Eukaryota; Metazoa; Arthropoda; Insecta; Diptera; Drosophilidae
Description: GJ26832
Source: RNAcentral